ACAUCAUCUACUAAAUUGAUUUCACACCCCGCUAAUGGAUGGUGAGGCACAGUUUGAAAAACUGCAUUCUUUCAGGACACUGAAUGGUCAGAACCCAAUGUGCUUUUAUUCAUUCAUUCAACAAAUAUUUGUGGCCAUGUAUAAUGUAUCAGGUGCUGUAUUUACUGUACUUCAUGCCAGGAAAGCAACAGAGAAGAAAACAUACCCAGUCCAGUCCCUGACCUCAUGUCAUUUACAAUCUCGGCUAAUCAAGUUCACAAAUAAAUAAUUCCAAAUCAUGAUGGGAGUGAAGCCAUAGAGGAUAAGAGGGCUCGGGGUGGGGUGAUCAGAGGUCUCUGAGGCAAUGAUCUGGAAGCUGCCACCUACAAGAUAAAGAGUAAGCAAGAUAGAGACAGCAGGAAUGAGCUCUCCGACGGAGGGCAUGAACAGCAAGUGCAAAGGCCCUGCGACUCGAAAGAGCAUGAAAGACUGAGGAAGCGGCCAGUGUGGCUCCAACACAGUGGAGGAGUGGGGGGAUCCUACUGAGAUAGAGGCCCUGGGCUGAAUAAUUCUCAUCCUUCAAGGCCCAACUCCAGCCAAUGGCACCGACCUCCUGGACCUGCUAGGCAGAAGUGGUGGCUCCCUCUCAGCUGACCCCAGAGCACUUCCUUAGCUCCUGCUGAUCUCAGAGCACACACACCAAUCCACUCUGGCCACUCAGCAAUUUUUCUUGAUGGCCCUGGCAUGGCACCUAUGCUGGGGUCAGACCCUCAACCAGCCCUUCAGUGUUGAAAUGCACAACCUCAGCCCUCUAGCCUCAGCGGAGGAAGCAGGGCUCUUCAGUUUGGGAGAACCAUAUACAACCAGAAGGGGCCAAAAUAUCUGAAGCCCUCAGGAGCUGGCUCCUCCACAGCUCUCAGGAAUGACAGUAAACACAGACGGCCCUGCAUGUAUUCCGGCUAUGGCUGCCUUCCUCCUGGGCUGCACAUCAGGCUAACAAGCCCAGCCCUCAGCUUCACAGGGAUUGGAGAGCUGGUGACCCUAGUCAAGGAAGCUGGUGACCCUGGAUCAGUUGCCUCCCCUCUCUGUGCCUAAAUCCCCCACCCCACUUCUGUCAAUUAGGAGGAUGAUGCCUUCUUCAAAGUGUUGUCAUAAAGAUUAAAUCCUUAUUAAAGUCU
RNAcentral lists this non-coding RNA (1157 nucleotides) under Pan troglodytes (chimpanzee). Lineage: Eukaryota; Metazoa; Chordata; Mammalia; Primates; Hominidae. The record is from RNAcentral.